GUCCUUUUGAUAAUAAUUUAAGGUCUAACCUGCUCAAUGAUUUUUAAAUAGCCGCAGUAUUUUGACUGUGCAAAGGUAGCAUAAUCAAUAGUUUUUUAAUUGAAAACUGGAAUGAAGGGUUGAAUAAGAAAAAUUCUGUCUCAAUUUUAAUUAAAUUGAAUUUUAUUUUUAAGUUAAAAAGCUUAAAUUUUUUUUAAAGACGAGAAGACCCUAUAGAGUUUUAUUUUAUUAAAUUUUAUUUUUGUUAGGUUUAGUUAAAUUUAAUUAAUUAAUUAAAUUUGAUUGGGGUGAUUGAAAAAUUUGACAAACUUUUUUUAUUUUUUUACAUUUAUUUAUGAAUUUUUGAUCCUUUUUAGAUUAAAAGAUUAAAUUACCUUAGGGAUAACAGCGUAAUUUUUUUUGAGAGUUCAAAUCGAAAAAAAAGAUUGCGACCUCGAUGUUGGAUUAAAGUUAAUUUUUGGUGUAGAAGCUAAAAUAUUUGGUCUGUUCGACCUUUAAAACUUUACA
Molecule: ribosomal RNA, 507 nt
Filed under: Aenigmaticum californicum
Lineage: Eukaryota; Metazoa; Arthropoda; Insecta; Coleoptera; Corylophidae
Description: partial 16S ribosomal RNA
Rfam family: Bacterial large subunit ribosomal RNA (bases 381-507)
Source: RNAcentral